AUUGAUUCUCAACCAUUUGAGUAAGAUACAGUGUAAUAUCUGUUCGUAUCAGUUUAAUAUCUGAUAUGUCUUCUAUCCAAGGAUAAUAUAGUACAUGGGUUUUUGAUUAGGGAGAUGGAAUGGGAUCUUGCUCCAUCCACUACAUGCAUCAACCUGCUAUUGUAGUACAUGUAGGAAUGGUGCACCCCCU
Small nuclear RNA from Tupaia belangeri (northern tree shrew), 190 nucleotides. Its record names the gene U2. It matches the Rfam family "U2 spliceosomal RNA". From Rfam's summary of the family: U2 is a small nuclear RNA (snRNA) component of the spliceosome (involved in pre-mRNA splicing). Complementary binding between U2 snRNA (in an area lying towards the 5' end but 3' to hairpin I) and the branchpoint sequence (BPS) of the intron results the bulging out of an unpaired adenosine, on the BPS, which initiates a nucleophilic attack at the intronic 5' splice site, thus starting the first of two transesterification reactions that mediate splicing. The record is from Ensembl. Lineage: Eukaryota; Metazoa; Chordata; Mammalia; Scandentia; Tupaiidae.